GAUGAACGCUGGCGGCGUGCCUAAUACAUGCAAGUCGAGCGAACGGACGAGAAGCUUGCUUCUCUGAUGUUAGCGGCGGACGGGUGAGUAACACGUGGAUAACCUACCUAUAAGGCUGGGAUAACUUCGGGAAACCGGAGCUAAUACCGGAUGAUAUUUUGAACCGCAUGGUUCAAAAGUGAAAGACGGUCUUGCUGUCACUUAUAGAUGGAUCCGCGCUGCAUUAGCUAGUUGGUAAGGUAACGGCUUACCAAGGCAACGAUGCAUAGCCGACCUGAGAGGGUGAUCGGCCACACUGGAACUGAGACACGGUCCAGACUCCUACGGGAGGCAGCAGUAGGGAAUCUUCCGCAAUGGGCGAAAGCCUGACGGAGCAACGCCGCGUGAGCGAUGAAGGUCUUCGGAUCGUAAAACUCUGUUAUUAGGGAAGAACAUAUGUGUAAGUAACUGUGCACAUCUUGACGGUACCUAAUCAGAAAGCCACGGCUAACUACGUG
RNAcentral lists this ribosomal RNA (497 nucleotides) under uncultured bacterium. RNAcentral describes it as "partial 16S ribosomal RNA". It matches the Rfam family "Bacterial small subunit ribosomal RNA", at positions 28 to 507 of the family's 1533-position model. The record is from RNAcentral.